GGGAAUGUAGCUUAGUGGUAGAGUACUUGCCUAAUAUGUAUGAAGCCCUGGGUUCAACUCCUCAGUACCA
This 70-nucleotide transfer RNA is filed under the name Dipodomys ordii (Ord's kangaroo rat). It matches the Rfam family "tRNA". From Rfam's summary of the family: Transfer RNA (tRNA) molecules are approximately 80 nucleotides in length. Their secondary structure includes four short double-helical elements and three loops (D, anti-codon, and T loops). Further hydrogen bonds mediate the characteristic L-shaped molecular structure. tRNAs have two regions of fundamental functional importance: the anti-codon, which is responsible for specific mRNA codon recognition, and the 3' end, to which the tRNAs corresponding amino acid is attached (by aminoacyl-tRNA synthetases). tRNAs cope with the degeneracy of the genetic code in two manners: having more than one tRNA (with a specific anti-codon) for a particular amino acid; and 'wobble' base-pairing, i.e. permitting non-standard base-pairing at the 3rd anti-codon position. The record is from Rfam by way of RNAcentral. Lineage: Eukaryota; Metazoa; Chordata; Mammalia; Rodentia; Heteromyidae.